RNAcentral lists this unclassified non-coding RNA (182 nucleotides) under uncultured fungus. Its description in RNAcentral is "sequence contains ITS1, 5.8S rRNA gene". Lineage: Eukaryota; Fungi. RNAcentral also lists the same sequence under 1 other name. The record is from RNAcentral.
AAGAGUUAGGGUCUUCUAGGCCCGAUCUCCAACCCUUUGUAAAACUACCAUGUUGCUUUGGCGGGCCCGUCUUUAACCGGACCGCCGAGGGUUUUGUUUUAACCCUUGGCCAGCGCUCGUCAAUAGCCCACAAUUAAAUUCUUUUUAAUCAUGUUAAAUCUGAAAAAUAGUUAAAUAAACUA